CCUUUUUCACUACUGUUCUCUUUUCUUCCUUCGAAAAGCUUUUUUUUUUUUUCGAAACUUGGACAUACCGGCAUUGACCUUUCUCUCUAGUCUCUCUUUUCUCCAAAACCUUCCCCUCCCACUCCUUCUCAAACUUUUAAUGCCACCCCACCCCACCAUCUCUUCACUUUCCUUAAACUUCUCAUCGAGCCAGAGCUCACCCCGUCCUCCAACAUCGUCGUGUCCCCUCAUCGCACCACCACCCAACCUAGACCCCAACAUCAGUCACGUGCAACACCACCCACCGCCUCGCCACCCAACCCACGAUACCGGCAUGCGCAACCCAUGAUGUUCGAAGUUGGUCGGCAGGACAGCGUUAGAGUCAUGGUUACUAUUCAUACUCUGUUCACGGUCAUGGUAGGUACUCUUUAAUUUGAUAUGUAUUUUAUUCUGAGAUGAGAUUGCAUUGAGUGAUUUGAUCUGUUUGGAAAAAAUGCAAUUUUUUUGUGAAAUUUCAUCUCUGCGUUUGCUUCAUCUAUUUAAUCUGGUUUAUUGGAACUGUUCACCUUCUUCCUUUGCUUCAUCACUUUGUUAUUCUUGUGGUUGGGGAGUAAAAAUUCUAUGAAAAUAAUAGUUUUUUUUGUGUAAGAAACAGUUCCUUAUAUAAAGGAAUGCACUUUCCGUUGAAGAAACCAAUUCUGCCAUGUUAUUUUGCUCCAACGCCGAAGAACUCAAAAGAAAUCGAAAUCGUUCCUUAGGCUAAGAAACCAAAGAAGCAUCUCUGAUUGGAGAUGCUCUGACUAGAUGUAGAGCUCACAAAAUAGAUCAGUGGGUUCAGAGUGUGAAAAACGAACUGAGUUGAAUUAGUCCAUAUUCUAUAUAAACCUUAUUUUUAGAAGUCCAGUGAGGGUUGGUGGCCUAUUGGACUGUUUCACAUUGGGUCAUUUAUUUUACUUUUUUUAGACUAAAUUUAUAUAUAUAUUUUUUAAAAAAUAUUGGGUCAAAAUUAUAUGUCCGUUUGAAUUUAGACCCAUGAUUUUUUACUCCAGCAUAAUGGGUUGGCCUUAUUUGUAUCAAUAGUGUGUAUUUUGUUAAGAUAAAUAAUAUCAAUCGUCAAUAUUUAUUAAUGAGAUUAUGAUUGAAAAAUAAAUAUAUAUAAAUGUUUUAUUUUACUGAAGUAAUUUAGUUAGCAUUUUGUUGUAGACUAAAUUUUCAAUGUACUUUGCGUUUCAUUUUGCUCAAAUAAAAAUCACAACUCUUUUUUAUUGUGUAUACUUUGACAACAUAACAUAUAAUUAAUUGUGUAGGACAACAUCCAGAUAAUAUUAUUAGUUAUUUUUGUUUAAGUUUCAUUGCUCUUUUAUUAAUCCUCCAAUUAAUUACACCAAGAAUUAAUUGUCAAUAUUAACAAUAUUAUCAUUUUUUAAACGAGUGGUCAUUGUUGUCUAUGUGAUAUCUACACAGUAACAUUCCGAUAAUGAAUCACACCGAAAAAAGAGGAAUCCAACGAUUGGAUAGGUAUGAAACUAUAAAGUUAAGAAUAAUUUAAAUAAAUUAAUUGGUAUAAUCUAUAUCAAGAAGAUACAUCUAUUUUUUUGGUAGUUUAUCAGUUAAAAACUCCAAAACUAAAUGUGUUUGACUUGAAAUAGUAACAGGAUGUGUGAUCUUCCAAAAAAAAAAUUAGAAAGUGUGUAAGUGAGGAUAAAAUAGGUUGAAAUUAUUGUGUUGAUUUGUGGAGACAAUCAUUAAUCUUGAAAGCAACAGAAACAGAUUGUCGAGGUCUCGAAAAUUUAUUGUAAUAGAAAAUCAACCCGUAUCAAUCAAUCAAAUUUAUUGAAUAAAUAAUAUUACCCAUAAAAAAUAAAAAAAAAAGUAUAAUUUAUAUUUAGUGUGUACUAUUAAUGAAUUCAAAUUAGCAUAAGCAUAUAUGAUAUAUAAAUUAGCUACGAAAGAUUUCUUUAUUAGUUAAGCAAUUAUUAGUUAAGUAAUUUUUGAAACCACGAGUCACCACAUAAGGAAAUUUGACAUCAUACUCUAAUCCAAAACCUUAAGGCUCAGGUUUAUGAAUAUUCUCCUCACUUAUAUGAUACUCAAUCUUUCCACUUCUAUCCAAUGUGGGACUUUCCCUCAUACUUGUAUCUCAACAUUAUUUUACGUAUAUUUUUGGACAACUUUUGGAGUUGAAUUGAUGAGAAAAAUAUUUCAAAAAUGGAGAAAAAGUUGGAGGAUGUGUUUUGGUUUUGUAUGAUACUUUGCAAUAAAGGAUUCAGAGGAAGGUUGAAGCACAAUUGGACAAGGUAUAGAUAUAGGAACAUACAAAUUAAGGGCCAACAUGUCAAGAAUUAUAGAAAUAAAAAAAGAAGCAAGGUAAUAGGAGAAAAUAAUGUGAAACUACUUCAAACGAACAUUAAUAUUAUGACAACAUAAUGAACAAGAGAACUAAAAUAACAACAAAAAAUAGAAAAGAUGGAAUAGAUAGAAAAGGGGAAAGAAGGCGUUACACUCUUAGAAAGUGAUAAGUUAAAUAGGAAUUCACAACAAAGGUAUUGAAACCUUAGAUGAGAACCAAAAAGAGGGGGCAAUGGUCUACUCACACUUUAACAAGAGUAACUCUUUGAUAACUGCUAAAUAAUUGUAUUUUGAUAAUAGAAAAUAAGGCAAAAUUGUCUUUAAAAAUAAUUAUUUAGUAGUUAUUUGCGCUUAAAUAUUAAAGAAUUAAUGUUUUGUUGAAUUUUGACUGCAGAUAUAAAAACUGAAGGUGUAACAAGCAAAAAAAGUCAGAAAAAUUGAAGAAAAGAAGCAAAUUUGAAGUAGGCCCAGCCCAAUAUGCGCACUGAGCGUGCAAAGCAGCACAGACGCUAAGCGAGGCGUUAAGCUCGAAGAUGCAGAAUCCGUUACGCGCGCUAAGCGCGAGCCACACGCUAUGCGCGCGAUCCAACAGAAACACACGUUAAGCCUGCAGCGCUCGUUGAGCGCGCGAUCUGAACGCGCUAAGCACGAGGUGUCGCGCUAAGCGUGCCUACGAACGCCCAAAGCCCACUUCAACAACUAUAAACAGAGAGUCAGUCCAAGGGAGAAAACACAAGAACACCACGACAGAACCCUUUCUCCUAGGGGUUUUAUUUAUUCCCUUUUUUUCUUUCACCCCCUUCUCAUUGUAAAACCCUCAAUGGCCAUUAGUGGCGAAACCCUUAGUUAGGGCCUGACAGGCCUAGAAGCCAAUGCGAUGUAUGAUGUACUCUUCACUAUUUAUCAAUGCAAUACCAG
Molecule: long non-coding RNA, 3246 nt
Filed under: Glycine max (soybean)
Lineage: Eukaryota; Viridiplantae; Streptophyta; Magnoliopsida; Fabales; Fabaceae
Description: long non-coding RNA (GMAX_LNC001853)
Source: RNAcentral